Molecule: long non-coding RNA, 197 nt
Filed under: Pan troglodytes (chimpanzee)
Lineage: Eukaryota; Metazoa; Chordata; Mammalia; Primates; Hominidae
Description: lincRNA
Source: RNAcentral
CCUAAUUUUUGAAGUUUUUUUCUUAGAAAUUUUACUGGAUCCAAAAUAAAACAAGAAGAUCAUGAGUCCAGAAUUCUCUUUUCUCAACACUAGAUGGCAGUAGAGUUAAAGAAAAAAAUCCCAGCAGUUCUUUGUACAGGGAUUUGGUGAUUUUUCCCAUAAAGCUGCGAUGAGGAUGAACUCAGAGCAAAAUCUAU